GUAAUGGUGUCUUUAGACACCACCUUUGUUUUUUUUUAAAGUUGUCU
This is a non-coding RNA of Picea glauca (white spruce), 47 nucleotides long. Lineage: Eukaryota; Viridiplantae; Streptophyta; Pinopsida; Pinales; Pinaceae. The record is from Rfam.